AUUGAACGCUGGCGGCAGGCUUAACACGUGCAAGUCGAGCGGAGUGAUGGUGCUUGCACUAUCACUUAGCGGCGGACGGGCGAGUAAUGCUUAGGAAUCUGCCUAUUAGUGGGGGACAACAUCUCGAAAGGGAUGCUAAUACCGCAUACGUCCUACGGGAGAAAGCAGGGGAUCACUUGUGACCUUGCGCUAAUAGAUGAGCCUAAGUCGGAUUAGCUAGUUGGUGGGGUAAAGGCCUACCAAGGCGACGAUCUGUAGCGGGUCUGAGAGGAUGAUCCGCCACACUGGGACUGAGACACGGCCCAGACUCCUACGGGAGGCAGCAGUGGGGAAUAUUGGACAAUGGGGGGAACCCUGAUCCAGCCAUGCCGCGUGUGUGAAGAAGGCCUUAUGGUUGUAAAGCACUUUAAGCGAGGAGGAGGCUCUUUUGGUUAAUACCCAAGAUGAGUGGACGUUACUCGCAGAAUAAGCACCGGCUAACUCUGUGCCAGCCGCCGCAGUAA
Molecule: ribosomal RNA, 503 nt
Filed under: uncultured bacterium
Lineage: Bacteria
Description: partial 16S ribosomal RNA
Rfam family: Bacterial small subunit ribosomal RNA
Source: RNAcentral